UUGGAGGGCAAGUCUGGUGCCAGCAGCCGCGGUAACUCCAGCUCCAAUAGCGUAUAUUAAAGUUGUUGCAGUUAAAAAGCUCGUAGUUGAAUUUCGAGACCGGCUUACUGGUCGUGCUAUUGUACGUACUGGUAUAAUCGGUUUCUCCUUUCUGACGAACUAUAAUGCCAUUAAUUUGGUGUUAUAGGGAAUCAGGACUGUUACUUUGAAAAAAUUAGAGUGUUUAAAGCAGGC
Molecule: ribosomal RNA, 234 nt
Filed under: uncultured fungus
Lineage: Eukaryota; Fungi
Description: partial small subunit ribosomal RNA
Rfam family: Eukaryotic small subunit ribosomal RNA
Source: RNAcentral